This 207-nucleotide ribosomal RNA is filed under the name uncultured bacterium. RNAcentral's name for it is "partial 16S ribosomal RNA". It matches the Rfam family "Bacterial small subunit ribosomal RNA", at positions 568 to 774 of the family's 1533-position model. The record is from RNAcentral.
CGCGUAGGCGGGAACAUAAGUCAGAUGUGAAAUUCCAGGGCUCAACCCUGGAGCUGCAUUUGAAACUAUGUUUCUUGAGGGUAGACGGAGAAAGCGGAAUUCCACAAGUAGCGGUGAAAUGCGUAGAUAUGUGGAAGAACACCAGUGGCGAAGGCGGCUUUCUAGUUUACACCUGACGCUGAGGCGCGAAAGCUAGGGGAGCGAACA